RNAcentral lists this transfer RNA (69 nucleotides) under Heterocephalus glaber (naked mole-rat). It matches the Rfam family "tRNA". Rfam says of the family: Transfer RNA (tRNA) molecules are approximately 80 nucleotides in length. The record is from Rfam by way of RNAcentral. Lineage: Eukaryota; Metazoa; Chordata; Mammalia; Rodentia; Bathyergidae.
GGGGCUGUAGCUCCGAGGUAGAGCACUCGCCUAGCGUGCGUGAGGUCCUGGGUUCAGACCCCAGCCCUG